AAGUUUCCUUUGAGAUAUAGAAAUAAAGAGAAAAGAGACAAAGAAAACUUUUAUUGGAAACUAUUGCUGAAGGUAUUAUUAUGACUUGGCCCAGUUAAUAAACUUUUCGAGAUUCUUUGAAGAUUCACCAUCCUUGACUGAUUUAUCCACGAACAAUUCCUGCAGUUUCAGUGAUCUUGCUUUUAUGUCUCCAUUCUCAAGAACUUGCUCCACCUUCUUCCUUAUCUCUUCCUUCAGUACUAAUCCAUUUUCAUCCUUGUCGAAUUUCAGACCAACCUUCCACACAUCACAAAUAUACAACCUGUUUAAAAAUUGGUCACUGAAAAAUGGUAAACACAAGAAAGGUGUGCCACUGCAUACACCCUCCAAAGUGGAAUUCCAACCACAGUGACUGAUGAAACAAGCUAUGGCAGGGUGGUUCAAUAUCUUUUUCUGAGGUGCCCAGUUCACAAUUUUACCUUUACUUCCAUGGAAUUCAUCAGGGUAUGCGUUGUUUACCUUGUCAUUAUCACCACUUGGACGAACAACCCAAAGAAAAGGCCUUUUCAGGAGAUCGAGACCUAGAGCUAGUUCUUUGAAUUGGUUUGGUUCCAAGAUUGCUAUACUACCAAAGGAAACAUAUACAACGGAUUCAGGUGGCUGCUGAUCCAACCAGGUUAGGCAAGUUGUGUCUUCUUCCCAGAAUGAGCUUUUGUUGGUGUCACUUUCCAUCAAUGGCCCAAUUGGGAGGAACUUUGGUGAUAUGGAAACUGCUCCAGGCUCAAGAUCAGAAGUACUGUUGCAGAGCCACCAUUCUCCAAACUCCAAGUUUUUCAUCUCUUUGACUAUAUGGGGGAAGAAUUUAUUAUCAAAGCCACCCCAUGGAAGGUCUUCAGCAUCCAUCACAGGCAUAUUUGGGGAAAGCUGAAUUUCUUGUUUUUUGGUUUGAACUCCUGCAUUUGCAAUGCCACAAGUUUCUCAAAUAUUCUCUUCAUGCGUUUCGCCUUUCUAAAUCAAAAGAUCAAAAC
This 1007-nucleotide long non-coding RNA is filed under the name Vigna radiata. RNAcentral's name for it is "long non-coding RNA (VRAD_LNC003194)". Lineage: Eukaryota; Viridiplantae; Streptophyta; Magnoliopsida; Fabales; Fabaceae. The record is from RNAcentral.